UCAAGUGUCUCAAAUGCUCAGCU
This 23-nucleotide non-coding RNA is filed under the name Arabidopsis thaliana (thale cress). The record is from RNAcentral. Lineage: Eukaryota; Viridiplantae; Streptophyta; Magnoliopsida; Brassicales; Brassicaceae.